RNAcentral lists this non-coding RNA (129 nucleotides) under Lactobacillus panisapium. RNAcentral describes it as "FMN riboswitch (RFN element)". It matches the Rfam family "FMN riboswitch aptamer (RFN element)". Rfam says of the family: The RFN element is a highly conserved domain that is found frequently in the 5'-untranslated regions of prokaryotic mRNAs that encode for flavin mononucleotide (FMN) biosynthesis and transport proteins. This element is a metabolite-dependent riboswitch that directly binds FMN in the absence of proteins. Lineage: Bacteria; Bacillati; Bacillota; Bacilli; Lactobacillales; Lactobacillaceae. The record is from RNAcentral.
UUCUUCGGGGCAGGGCGAAAUUCCCUACCGACGGUGACAACCAGUAAGGUUGAAGUCCGUGACCCGCGUACGCGCGGUGGAACUAGUGCAAGUCUAGUACCGACAGUUAAAGUCUGGAUGGGAGAAGAA